RNAcentral lists this ribosomal RNA (479 nucleotides) under uncultured bacterium. RNAcentral describes it as "bacterial SSU rRNA". It matches the Rfam family "Bacterial small subunit ribosomal RNA", at positions 20 to 518 of the family's 1533-position model. The record is from RNAcentral.
UGGCUCAGGACGAACGCUGGCGGCGUGCUUAACACAUGCAAGUCGAACGGGAGUAUUGAAGAAGCUUGCUUUAGAGAUACUUUAGUGGCGGACGGGUGAGUAACGCGUGAGGAGCUGUCCUAUGCAGGGGGACAACAGCUGGAAACGGCUGCUAAUACCCCAUAAGCCGAGAGGUAAAAGGAUCAAUCCGGCAGAGGAGGUACUCGCGUCCUAUCAGCUAGUAGGUGAGGUAACGGCUCACCUAGGCGAAGACGGGUAGCCGGCCUGAGAGGGCGAACGGCCACACUGGAACUGAGAUACGGUCCAGACUCCUACGGGAGGCAGCAGUGGGGAAUAUUGGGCAAUGGGGGGAAAAACCCCUGACCCAGCGACGCCGCGUGGGUGAAGAAAUCCUUCGGGAUGUAAAGCCCUGUUGUAUGGGAAGAGCGGAAGACGGUACCAUACGAGGAAGCCCCGGCAAACUACGUGCCAGCCGCAGC